This 407-nucleotide unclassified non-coding RNA is filed under the name Hevea brasiliensis (rubber tree). The record is from RNAcentral. Lineage: Eukaryota; Viridiplantae; Streptophyta; Magnoliopsida; Malpighiales; Euphorbiaceae.
UCUCUCUCUCUCUCUCUCUCUCUCUCUGACAAUGGCGUUCUCUUCUCUGUCUGCCUAUUAUCAUCUUAGCUCCUCUUGUUCGAAGACUAAUUGUAACGAUAAUAAUAGAAAUGUCAACGUUAAGCUGUUCUCUUCUCUUUUAGCUUCGCCCAUUAGCUUGUCUUCAAACCCCAAACUUUCUCUGCAAUUCUUUCACCAGAAACACUCCCCACUUGUUCCCUUAACUCCCAGACGCCUCUCAGUCAUUGCAAUGGCUCCCCCUAAGCCAGCUGGGAAGGCCAAAAAAGUCGUUGGGUUUGAAGACAAGCUAAUGGGCGAAGCUAAAAGAGAAGAGAACAGCUUAACGGGUCCAGCGCUUGGUGCUAAGGGUGUCAACAUUAUGGCUUUCUGUAAAGAUUACAAUGCCA